RNAcentral lists this ribosomal RNA (335 nucleotides) under uncultured bacterium. RNAcentral's name for it is "bacterial SSU rRNA". It matches the Rfam family "Bacterial small subunit ribosomal RNA", at positions 8 to 334 of the family's 1533-position model. The record is from RNAcentral.
AGAGUUUGAUUAUGGCUCAGGACGAACGCUGGCGGCGUGCCUAACACAUGCAAGUCGAACGGAGAUAUUUAGAAGCUUGCUUUUGGAUAUCUUAGUGGCGGACGGGCGAGUAACGCGUGAGCAACCUGUCCUUCAGAGGGGGACAACGGCUGGAAACGGCCGCUAAUACCGCAUGACAUAUCCGGAUGGCAUCGUCUGGAUAUCAAAGGAGAAAUCCGCUGAAGGGUGGGCUCGCGUCCGAUUAGCUAGUUGGUAGGGUAACGGCCUACCAAGGCGACGAUCGGUAGCCGAACUGAGAGGUUGAUCGGCCGCAUUGGGACUGAGACACGGCCCAG